RNAcentral lists this long non-coding RNA (325 nucleotides) under Mustela putorius furo (domestic ferret). RNAcentral describes it as "lncRNA (ENSMPUG00000025508.1)". Lineage: Eukaryota; Metazoa; Chordata; Mammalia; Carnivora; Mustelidae. The record is from RNAcentral.
CAGAGAGUGUGAACAACAAUUGGAUGAUGCAGUGAAGAAGUUUCCAAACUUGAAAAUGCGGAUGCCCUUCACUACCUACUCCACACAGGGCCACACCCUUAUGGAGCUCACCUCAGACAGAAAUGAAAUAAGUGAUGGGCUCACUAAACUCUAGAAUAUAGUGCCUACCGGAGCCACAAAUAUGCAGGAAGGAUUUAAAAAGGCAAAUGAGCAUAUUGAACAAGAAAAUGCUAAAGGUAAAUUGCCUGGUGACUUCACUAUGGGCAGGUUUGGGGGCAGAGCAGGCCUGGGCCUCAGGGAGGUCUGGUGCAGACCCUGGUCAGCC